UCAGGUGAGGCAGAAGAUGCAGAGCAGCGCUAAACUCUUCCAGACAGCGACAACCAACCUAUAAGAAGCAGGCAGUCUUCUCUGUGCAGUUACAGCUCUACCAGCCCUAGGUCCCAGCAGUGCAGGCAAGAGCCUGCAGUGCUGGGUACAAGCCAGGUCGAUCUAUCAGAAACCCUUAUCCUGUCUCCAGUGAACACUGAGCUUUCACAGAACAAUUGUUGGAAUGUAAGGAGAAAGAGUUUUCUCUCUGAGACAAGGAACAGAAUCCAUUUAAAGGGAUGGAAGAUUGAUGUCCAUGGCAUCCUCUGAACCUAAGAUCCUAAGACAUGUCACCCAUAAUCUGGUCACACCAUCCAAAAGAAACCCUGAAGGCACAGGAACAUGAAAUGUUCAAACAUACUUUGAAGACA
RNAcentral lists this long non-coding RNA (410 nucleotides) under Homo sapiens (human). Its description in RNAcentral is "HSALNT0054895". The record is from RNAcentral. Lineage: Eukaryota; Metazoa; Chordata; Mammalia; Primates; Hominidae.